RNAcentral lists this ribosomal RNA (538 nucleotides) under Metschnikowia sp. (in: budding yeasts & allies). RNAcentral describes it as "eukaryotic LSU rRNA". The stretch from base 57 to 538 matches the Rfam family "Eukaryotic large subunit ribosomal RNA", at positions 1 to 484 of the family's 3401-position model. Lineage: Eukaryota; Fungi; Ascomycota; Pichiomycetes; Serinales; Metschnikowiaceae. The record is from RNAcentral.
CCCUUUGGUCCAAAUAUCAACAGAAUCUAGAAUAAGUUUUAGACUUCUACCCAAUACUUCCUCAUCUUCGUAAGACUACCCGCUGAACUUAAGCAUAUCAAUAAGCGGAGGAAAAGAAACCAACAGGGAUUGCCUCAGUAACGGCGAGUGAAGCGGCAAAAGCUCAAAUUUGAAAUCCCCCGGGAAUUGUAAUUUGAAGGUGGCCUCAGUUAGUCCAAACAUUCUUAAGUCCAUUGGAAAAUGGCGCCAUGGAGGGUGAUAGCCCCGUAAAGAUGUCGUUUGUUCUAUUUUCUCUGGCCACCAAAGAGUCGAGUUGUUUGGGAAUGCAGCUCUAAGUGGGUGGUAAAUUCCAUCUAAAGCUAAAUAUUGGCGAGAGACCGAUAGCGAACAAGUACAGUGAUGGAAAGAUGAAAAGCACUUUGAAAAGAGAGUGAAAAAGUACGUGAAAUUGUUGAAAGGGAAGGGCUUGCAAGCAGACACAACCUCGUGUUGGGCCAGCAUCGGGGCGAGAGGAAGUAAAAACGAUUUGGAAAUGUAA